This 488-nucleotide ribosomal RNA is filed under the name Burkholderiaceae bacterium L473_RCm. RNAcentral's name for it is "bacterial SSU rRNA". It matches the Rfam family "Bacterial small subunit ribosomal RNA", at positions 872 to 1356 of the family's 1533-position model. The record is from RNAcentral. Lineage: Bacteria; Pseudomonadati; Pseudomonadota; Betaproteobacteria; Burkholderiales; Burkholderiaceae.
CCUGGGGAGUACGGUCGCAAGAUUAAAACUCAAAGGAAUUGACGGGGACCCGCACAANACGGUGGAUGAUGUGGAUUAAUUCGAUGCAACGCGAAAAACCUUACNUACCCUUGACAUGGUCGGAACCUGGCUGAAAGGCUGGGGUGCUCGAAAGAGAACCGAUACACAGGUGCUGCAUGGCUGUCGUCAGCUCGUGUCGUGAGAUGUUGGGUUAAGUCCCGCAACGAGCGCAACCCUUGUCCUUAGUUGCUACGCAAGAGCACUCUAAGGAGACUGCCGGUGACAAAUCCGGAGGAAGGUGGGGAUGACGUCAAGUCCUCAUGGCCCUUAUGGGUAGGGCUUCACACGUCAUACAAUGGUCGGAACAGAGGGCUGCCAACUCCGUGAGGGGGAGCUAAUCCCAGAAAACCGAUCGUAGUCCGGAUCGUAGUCUGCAACUCGAGCUAGCGUGAAGUCUGGAACUCGNCUAGUAAUCGCGGAUCAGCAUG